This 862-nucleotide unclassified non-coding RNA is filed under the name Hevea brasiliensis (rubber tree). Lineage: Eukaryota; Viridiplantae; Streptophyta; Magnoliopsida; Malpighiales; Euphorbiaceae. The record is from RNAcentral.
GUUUUCUUCUUCACCGAUUUCCAGGUUUUGGAGCUUGACGUCGAUUGGAUUGACUUUUAUAGUGGCUGGUCAAUCAGAAUGGAGUCUCGGGCUGAUUUUGUACAAUGUCUUGGAAGUGACAUGUCAAUUAAUAUUCUGGCAUGUUUGAAUGAGCCAGUAGAUGUGGUCCGUGCAGGCUCCGUCUCAAGACUUUGGCACCAUUUUGUGAUUACGAAUGGGAUUUCCAAGAAACUAUGUCUGAAAAGGUUUCCUCAGCUUUCUGGGAUUGCACGUAUAACUGAACCAGAUUGGAUAACAACAGAAGCAAAUGGUGCUGGAUCCAACAAUUCCAGUUGGGAUAUUCUGAAGAGAGACCACAAUGUUUAUGCUUCUCUCCUUCAUGCUAUUACAACAUUAAACACAUGUCAGUGUGAAUGCAUAGCAUAUGCAGUUAGUGCUUCUAGUACAGAUAGAUUUCCUGCCGAAAGUGUUGCCAAUACUUUAACAACUAGGAGAUAUCUUGGUGGACAUUCAUACUGGUCAAGUAAAGGACAUGCUGAUCCAGAUUCCCCCGAGACAUUAAUUUACAAAUUGAAAGCCGAUCUGUGUGUUAUUAGUGAAAUUAGUGUACAACCUUUUGAAGCUUUUUACCAGCCCGGCCAGCCUAUAUACUCUGCAAAAUCUGUUCGAUUUCGGUUAGGACACCCCAAAAAUUCACUAGACGAAAAUGAUGUCCUGCAAAUGCCUCAGCAACAGGCUGCUGAUGACAAGUUUAUAUGGACGUAUACAUCAGAAGUAUACCCUAUGGAACAGAAAAACUGCUUGCAGCAGUACAAGCUACCAGAACCAGUGCUUUGCAUUGGUGGAUAUCUGCAGAUUGAAC